AUGUGUCUCCUAUGUGUUCUAUUUUCCUCUGAAUCUUAUCUCUCGGAUCUUACAGAUGGUUAAUCGUGAACUGAAAUCACCUGCAACAAUUUAUAAUAAAGAGGAUGUUUACAUCAACGAGUUCUUUUGAAAGAUCAUUCGAUAAAUAAAUAAAUUUGACACUUUCGGUCAUUAGGAGAACGCGCUAGGGACCCUAGAUAAAGAGAAGUUUGAUCCCUAUAAAAUAUAACUUUCUAUUGGAUAUGAGACGUGUAAACCUCCUCCUCCAUGCAUAGCAACGUGUAUGCGGAAUCCUCUGGGAUUAGAGAAUUAAGGUGAAAUUUCAUGCGCA
Molecule: long non-coding RNA, 331 nt
Organism: Temnothorax curvispinosus
Lineage: Eukaryota; Metazoa; Arthropoda; Insecta; Hymenoptera; Formicidae
Exons: 3
Source: RefSeq, a predicted model, not a curated record